This 709-nucleotide long non-coding RNA is filed under the name Marmota monax (woodchuck). Lineage: Eukaryota; Metazoa; Chordata; Mammalia; Rodentia; Sciuridae. The record is from RNAcentral.
GUCUUGCUAAAUUGCUGAGGAUCUUGUUAAAUUGCUUAGGCUAUCCUCGAACUUGUGAUUCUCCUGCCUCAGCCUUGAAAGAAGUGGUAGGAUUAUAAGCAUGUACCACGUUGUCCAGCUGAAUUUUAAUUUUUUUUAGUGCUUAUACUCCACUUGUGCUAUAACUUCAGAUAAAGAAUUAUGAAGCAAAAUAAUUCAAAGUACUUUGCAAGAAUUAUCUCGUAUGCUUUAAAUUAUUCAUAGUUGUACUACAAGUAAGGUGCUUCUGUUUUUCUUUUACAGAUAGAGAAACUAGGUCUCAAAAAGUUAAUUAAGCUUCCUAGAUUUGGCAGCCAUAAAGUGGUAGACCCAAAAUUCACAUUGAGGUUUUUAAGCCCUGUGCUCAGUGCACUUAAUUUACACUUUCCCUGUUAUUUUUACUCCUGUAAAAUGUGAAUUAAUAAUACAUGCUUCAUGUAUUAUUUUAGGAAUUAGUGAUUAUAGAGUAUGUUAUUAAAUUAUGUAAAAUAUUUAUUAUAUAGGUUGCUUUUGAGAGGCCAAUAAUAGUGCAUCAGUCUUUUCCCCAGGUUAUGUCUUUUACAUGUGCAUUGCUCCAAAAUUACAUUCCUGUAGCUAUAGGCCUUAGCCAGAAUAUAAUAUAAACAUUAUUUUUCAGAAAGUAAAUUUUAUUAUAGUGCUCUAUCCCAAAAACUAAUAUAAAAGAACUUCA